AGGGCGGGGAUGACCUGUGGGGAGGCUCAAGGUCAGCCUGAGGUCAGAUCCUGUCCAGCUUAAUUAUUCAUUAACCAGGCAGGUCCCGGCACUGAGUUAAUGACCAGCACCAGGCUGGGGAGGGAGCAAAUUCCUCCCCGGAGGGUGGGCGUGACCUGCAAGGAUUGGGAACCGGUAAUGAACAGUUGGUGGAAAGGCUCUUCAUUCAUUCAUUCGUUCGUUCAUUCACUCCCUUAUCUCCCUGCACCUGUCAAUGAGCACAACCCUAGAGUGCCGGCCGGUGUGAGGACAGAGCAGUGGAGACAAGGACAGCCCAGAGUGUCAGCGCAGGGGUCUGGGGGAGCACAGAGGAGACCCCCAACUCAGCCAGGGCCAACGGCGCUCUAGCCUACUGCCCGUACUUCCUUGAGGUGAACUUUACACGGGUUGAAAUGAUCCAGUUUUGCGUGCACGGCGCCACACUGUCUCACAUCGGUGUCACCGCAUGACCGCCACCUUGAACGAGAUACUGAACGUUCCCAGCCCUCCAGAGGGUUCCCUCGCGCCCCCUCCCCAGGCGAGAACCGGGAGUCUGCCCUCCAUGACCGUAGACACUCUUGCCCGUCUACACAAACGCACUGGGAGUGUGCGCUCCGGUCCCUCAGCGUGGUAUCUCCGAGAUCCUUCGCUUCGCUCCAGGUUGUCCUUUUCUCAUUGCUCAGUUUAUUUCAUUGUUGGUCCCUUCUGUCCCUGGCUGUCCCAGUUCCCUUCUGGUCCCAGGCUCUGAGGAAGCUGCUCUGAACAUCCACGGACCUGUCUUCUUGUGGAGGGACUUGAUGGGCCGUGUUUCUUUAUUCCUCCAUUCUGGCCUAGGAGCACACAGAGCCCCAGGGCCUUUGCACUUGCUGUUCCCGCUUCUGAAAUUCUUUGUUCUCUGUCCUUGGUGUCACAGCAUUCCUUCUCAUCCUUCAGGUCACCUUCCCAGAGAGGCCCUGGCCUCCCACCGGGUCUGCUAAUGUCCCCCGGUCCUUCCUUCUUUGGUUUUGUGGCAUUUGUUGCCACGGGCGACCAUCUUAUCCUUGUACUCGCUUCCUGGGUGCCAGGCCCCUCCUGGAAGCUUCCUGCUCUCUGAAGGUGGGCACUUCUGCCUUGUGUAUCCCAGGGGCCAGCAUGGCUUCGAGUAGUGAUCAAUCAGACACGUGCAGGUGCCUCUGUAGGGAGGUAGGGACUCCCCUGGGGAGUAGGUUCCCCUGGGGAGGUUCCUUGUAGCCAUGACCCUUGACCCAGGAGGCCUGCCAAGGAAGGGGUGGGAACCAAGGAGGGGUGGGAGUUGUGUGGGCCACCUCCAUACCUUUCUUAUCUUUUGGCUAAUGGUUUGCCAGCGGUGUGCUGUUGUGCUCGGAGAAGAGGGGAGGAGGGGAGGGUGCGGCAGGAGGCCAGCCUUGCCCCUCACCCCUGCCUGGACCUGAGCUGCUCAGCAUUCGACCAUUUUACAAUCGUAGGUGCAGGAGGAAAGUCUCUCUGCUAAAAUAGGAGGUUUGGAAACCACUGCCGGAGGCAAUGGGGAGCCAUGGAGGGUGUGUAAGGAGGGGAGUGAUACCGAAGGAGCCAUCGGUUGAGCCUGGGUUGGUAGGAAGAAGGGCUGGACUUCGCCCCGUGUGCCAGCAGCCUACCAGGGGCCGGGCUGGGCAACCGCAACCCCUAUUUGCAAGGUUGCUUUAUGCCUGGGAACGGAGCGGGGAAACACCCACAAGUCCUCGGAGCUGGGCAAGUUCGGCCAGUUGGGGUCGACAGCGGGGAGCCGCAGAGCCCGCUCCGAACUUGGGAGGAAGGUCCGCAUCCCCACAAAAGCCAUUGGUGCUAAAAGCAAACGCGUGGACGGACGUCGCGCCUUCCAACAGGAUAUGGGGGCCCUGCUUUGAGCUCUGCCCUGUGGGCUAAAGGGAUGGAAGGGGAAAGGCAGGUGCUCACGGUCAGUGGCCAGCUGGUUAGAGGCAAGGACAGGCGAGAAGCAGGUGUCCCAAACGCAAGACAGAGCUGGCUCCCCUCGCACCGCCCUUCCCCAAACCUGCCCCUUCCAGCCCUGGUAUAGGGUCCACUCUCCUCCUUUCUUUCCCUACUGGGGGGCCACCCAGGGGGGUGCAAACCAGGAUAACCUCUCCCUCUGAAGACCCUUAAUGUAAUCACAUCUUUGAUGUCCCUGGUGCCUUGUAAGGUAACAUUCACAGAUUCCAGGCAUUAUGACCUGGAUGUCUUUAGGGGAGAUUAUUCAGGCCACCCCCAUUGCCCUGGGGAUUCCAGAUACUCUCCUGAGAAACCCUAGUCUGUAGGUUUGUUUAUUUAACUGAUGGCUGCUCUCUCAUGAUUCUCUGAGCUUACAGAAAUGGGGCACCAUUCAGCAUUUAUUUAACAAGCCCUCAUGAAGCUCCCGCGCGGUGCCGAGCCCUGUUCUGGGUGCUGUGGACAUUAAGACAAGAGGUUAGAGUCCAGACGGGCCAACCCGAGGUCUGCCCGCCUCCAAGGCCAUGCUGGAAAUGAACCAUCAGCCCUGGCUUUCUUCUUUCGCCCGCGGGAUCAGCAUUCGGAUCCCCAUCCUUGGACAGCCCUUGCCCCUCGGCCCUCCCGUACCCCAGGAGGCUAAGUUUGCUGAGGACAGCGGCUCGGAGAGGAGGACCUCCUGGCCACCUCUGGAAGGGUAAACUUGCAGACAGCACCCGCCACAGCGGCGUGCUGAGAAACGCACCAACACCAGCUGCUGGGGGAGGCCGGCCAGGAGGGGGCUUCGGGCGGGGUGGCCACGGACGGACGCUCCAGCAACAGACUGAGGCAACCGCUCGCCGCCAUUCCUGUGUAUAUGCCUGCCGCAACCCCAAAUCCUGUCUCAUCUUGGCCAAGUUAUAAAAGCCGCUCCUACGGCAACGCUUCAUUUAAUCUGGCGACGGCUAAGAUCACAUCGAGUGCUUCCCGGGAUCGGAACGCCCUGCUAACCACUCUGUGUCCUUGACCUCGCUGGACUGCAACCUGGAGAGGAGCAUGCCUUUACAGUCCUCCUUACACAGAGGGUCAGGGACGGUGGGUGAACCAUCCAAGGUCACCCUGCUUGGGACGGGCAGACACAGGAUUAGAACCCAGGCCUUCCGGUCCAGACCAGAGUGUUUCCACUGAACACUCCCAUAUAUUGCUGCCCCCAGGAAGCAAUGUGGUC
Felis catus (domestic cat) is the source of this 3184-nucleotide long non-coding RNA. RefSeq lists it as uncharacterized. The transcript is spliced from 3 exons. The record is from RefSeq and is a predicted model, not a curated record. NCBI's taxonomy places the organism in Eukaryota, Metazoa, Chordata, Mammalia, Carnivora, Felidae.